RNAcentral lists this ribosomal RNA (305 nucleotides) under uncultured bacterium. Its description in RNAcentral is "bacterial SSU rRNA". It matches the Rfam family "Bacterial small subunit ribosomal RNA", at positions 339 to 642 of the family's 1533-position model. The record is from RNAcentral.
CCUCGGGGCGCAGCAGUGAGGAAUAUUGGUCAAUGGCCGGAAGGCUGAACCAGCCAAGCCGCGUGAAGGACGAAGGUGCCAAGCAUUGUAAACCUCUUUUGUCAAGGGACAAAAUCAGGCUCGAGAGCCUGACCGAGGGUACUUGAAGAAAAAGCAUCGGCUAACUCCGUGCCAGCAGCCGCGGUAAUACGGAGGAUGCGAGCGUUAUCCGGAUUUAUUGGGUUUAAAGGGUGCGUAUGCGGACUGUUAAGUCAGCGGUAAAAUUGCGGGGCUCAACCCCGUCGAGCCGUUGAAACUGGCAGACU